GAAGUGCGAUAAGCAAUGCGAAUUGCAGAACCGUGAGUCAUCAGAUUUUUGAACGCAACUGGCGCCGGCUGGCUCUCCAGCCGGCAUGCUUGUUUCAGUGUCUUUUUAUCUCAUCACCCAAAUCAUAAUGCGAGAGAUACCCUUCUCUUGCCAAGCACGAAAGCACUCUGUUCUUUGCGAGCGGCUUCGACUUGUUCGAGGUUCGCACUCAAUGCAGCGGUCACAUUUUACAAUGUGAACUCAUUGAGAGUUAAGGCAGUGCAGCGCAAGCUGCCAGUGCUUAGUCACUCAAACUUUACAUGCAUCUGAAAUCAAGCAGGAUCACCCGCUGAACUUAA
This 338-nucleotide unclassified non-coding RNA is filed under the name uncultured fungus. RNAcentral describes it as "sequence contains ITS1". The stretch from base 1 to 103 matches the Rfam family "5.8S ribosomal RNA", at positions 50 to 154 of the family's 154-position model. The record is from RNAcentral. Lineage: Eukaryota; Fungi.